CGCGAGCCCCGCCCCCGCCCGGGGCCCGGGGACGUCCCCGCCGCGCGGCCCCCGCCCCGCCCCGCCCGCCGCUUCGCAGGCGGGACCCGAGCGGCAGCGGUGCCCGGAGGCGCACCCGCCCGCUCCGGGCCGCCCGCCGCUCACUCCUCCCGGGGCUGGGAGCCGGGGGGGGGGGGGGGGGGCGCCCGGAGUGACGGGGGGCGGGGGGGGCUGCUCGGGGUCGCGCUCAGCCGUCAUUUCCGGGGCUUUCCCUGGCAACCGUGCCAGCGUCCCCGGCAACGCAGGCGGCCCGGGAGGGGCCGUGGAACUUUCCAUCGCGCGCUGGGAGCGGGGGAGGACCGGGCGGGCGCCCGCGCUGCCGGCGGGGAGAGCCGCAGCGGCCCCGCGACUGGAGGCCCGCGCCCCGGCGCCGCCCGGUCCGGCCCCGGGAGCCCGCGUUCCCCCCGGGAGCGGCGGCCCCGCUUCGCCGCCGCCUGCCGAGGCUGCAGCCCGCCCGCCCGCCCGCCCGCCCGCCGCCGCCCUCACCGCUCUUGGCGGUGAAGUGCGUGUAGUCUGCCUUGUCUCAGACCGCGGAGAGUCCUCCUGGCCCCUCGAGCGGAGAUGGAGAGCCGAGAGCGGCUGGCGUUUCUCCGGCCCUGCUCCGCGGUCCCAUGGAGGAUCCACCCCCAAGGGUGGAGGGCUCCGAGGCGGCUCUGACUCACGCCUGUUAGCGCGGUUUCCACCAGACUCUCAACCGGAGCGACCCCCACAUCUGGCCCUUAGCUGGGAGCUCCUGGGGCGCUCCCCACCCAGACCCCCCCCUCCCUCCAGGCCAGACCAAGCCCCAGCCGUCCCUACCUCUCCAUCUGUGGCGCUUACCCAACACCCAUGAAGAAGUUAAUGAAAAACGAACUCGCUAUGGCCAAGCUGCUAAGCUGCUCAUGGUAAGCAGGUUGAGGUAUGAAGGAGUGAUUCUAUUCUUGCUUUAACUUAAACUUUGGAACUCUCCAGUCCUACACCAAUGCCUGCAUGUACCUCAGACCUUCAGACAACUGAAAACCACUGACAUCCGGACCGCCUGGCAUCCAGUGUGAAGACGAGGGUCACCCAGAGCAGUGGUCGGCAAACUCAUCAGUCCACAGAACCAAAUACAACAGCACGACGACUGAGAUUUCUUUUGAGAGCCAAAUUUUUUAAACUUAAACUUCUCCUAAUGCCACUUCUUCAAAAUAGACUCACCCAGGCCGUGGUAUUUUGUGGAAGAGCCACACUCAAGGGGCCAAAGAGCCGCAUGUGGCUCGCGAGCCUUGGUUUGCUGACAACAGGCCUAGAGGAUUACCCAUCCAGAGGCUGAGAAUGAACUGAUUCUUCUGAAAAAUGUACCCUAUGAGCUUUUCUUUCUUCUCAGAAACACUCCAAGUAGUGCCUAACUGUGUUACCAGGUUGCCAACCCUAAGAUCCUUGGAUAAAUCUUUGCCAUUUAUUUCUGUCAAA
Long non-coding RNA from Pipistrellus kuhlii (Kuhl's pipistrelle), 1473 nucleotides. RefSeq lists it as uncharacterized. Lineage: Eukaryota; Metazoa; Chordata; Mammalia; Chiroptera; Vespertilionidae. The transcript is spliced from 2 exons. The record is from RefSeq and is a predicted model, not a curated record.